Molecule: non-coding RNA, 147 nt
Organism: Caenorhabditis elegans
Lineage: Eukaryota; Metazoa; Nematoda; Chromadorea; Rhabditida; Rhabditidae
Source: Ensembl
AUUAUCGCCGCAAUAUGCUUGGCAACGACCAACCGAUGAACACAUUCACCAGAGAAACACAAGAAGAUUUCACAUCCCCAAAGAACACUUCCAAGUGUUCCGAAGACUGAAAAAAUUUAUUUUGUGGAAACAGGAAUUGAAAAAUAU